RNAcentral lists this ribosomal RNA (254 nucleotides) under uncultured bacterium. RNAcentral's name for it is "partial 16S ribosomal RNA". It matches the Rfam family "Bacterial small subunit ribosomal RNA", at positions 524 to 776 of the family's 1533-position model. The record is from RNAcentral.
UACGGGGGGAGCAAGCGUUGUUCGGAUUUACUGGGCGUAAAGGGCGCGUAGGCGGCCACCGCAAGUCGACUGUGAAAUCUCCGGGCUUAACUCGGAAAGGUCAGCCGAUACUGCGGGGCUAGAGUGCAGAAGGGGCAACUGGAAUUCUCGGUGUAGCGGUGAAAUGCGUAGAUAUCGAGAGGAACACCUGCGGCGAAGGCGGGUUGCUGGGCUGACACUGACGCUGAAGCGCGAAAGCUAGGGGAGCAAACAGG